CUUUCCCUCCUGGACGUGCCAGGCAAACAGCCCAAGCAGAAGAACAUCAGCAAGGGGGACCAAGGAAGAUGUGUCUGCUCACCACGGGGCUUGCUGUGGAUGUCAUGAAGAGGCUUGGCAGCGUUGAAGACAAUAAAGCAUGCUUUCCUGGAAGAAACAAUGCUGGAUUAAGGACUAAAACAUGGUCACUUUUUUCACCACGAGGAAGACCUGUCCUUGUUAAAAAUGUACUGGCUUCAGACACAUGGAAGAGAGUCUGAGAAUGUUUUGAGUAGGAAUGUUGCUGGAGAUAAAUUAUGGGCUAAGAAAUCAGCUGACUGAGUCGACCGUAUAGAUUUUCCCAGGUCACAUUACUUUUCCAUUUGUAUUCUCAAUCGCUUUUGAACACCCUUCAUGCAAGUCAGCAUAUCAAAAGAUGAUUUUAUACAAGGAUUACCGAUUUCAAAUAAAUAAAGAACCAAAAGAAAUAGAUUUCAAUUGCAUCCAGACUGGUUGGAGAUAAAAUGAGGAGUGCUACAACUCGCUGGGCCAGCACAGACAGGAGCCCUGGGAGCGCUCUCCUCUGAGAUCGAUGAAGUGAGAAUAGGCCCCAGUAAAGCAGUGGAGAAAACUGUCUUCCUGAGCCCCCUCUAGCCCAAGGAUUCCAGCUAUUCUUUGCACUCAGCCCCCAUGGGGUUAAUGAUGAAUUAUUACAAACAAUGAAGACAUUUAAGGCUGAAGACUAAGCCAUGAUUUGCUGUUCUCUGCCUGUUCACCCCCAACUAUUUCUAAUCCCACUAUUUCCUGAUGAGAACACACACUUAACCAGAUAUUCUACUUCAUUUUUGGAAAAUCUCUUGAAGUUGCUUUGGAUGAGCUGAGGAAAUGACAUCAUCACCCCUUGCUGGCUGCAGGAGUGACUGAGCCCUUGGGUUUGGGUGGGGUUGGGCUGCUGGUGAACGCAGAAGGUGUGGCGCUGCCGAGAGAACUGGACCCCAGAACCGCUCUGUUCUCCAAGUCA
This 1000-nucleotide long non-coding RNA is filed under the name Homo sapiens (human). RNAcentral describes it as "HSALNT0371788". The record is from RNAcentral. Lineage: Eukaryota; Metazoa; Chordata; Mammalia; Primates; Hominidae.